This 552-nucleotide small RNA is filed under the name Pan troglodytes (chimpanzee). RNAcentral describes it as "processed transcript". Lineage: Eukaryota; Metazoa; Chordata; Mammalia; Primates; Hominidae. The record is from RNAcentral.
AGCCGGGCCCCCCAGCGGUCGGCGGGACGGCUCCCGGCUGCAGUCUGCCCGCCCGCCCUGCGCGGGGGCCGAGUCGCGAAGCGCGCCUGCGACCCGGCGUCCGGGCGCGCUGGAGAGGACGCGAGGAGCCAUGAGGCGCCAGCCUGCGAAGGUGGCGGCGCUGCUGCUCGGGCUGCUCUUGGAGAUGCACAUUGCUUCUGAUGCAUAGAUGAGGAUCAGAAGUCUUCAUCCAGUACAGCAGACUGAACCGACUACUGUGGGUCCUGAAGGCACCAUACUUUCACUUCCUGUUUUCCCAUUCCUUUGACUGCCGUUUCAACUCCCACCAUACUUGAAGACCCUCAGGUGGUGUCAUGGAAGGCUACUCUCAUUGUCCACUUAGUGCACAGAAGCCAAAAAGCAUUGCUGGUAUUUCGAAGGACUCUAUCCAACCUAUUAUAUAUGCCGCUCCUACGAGGACUGCUGUGGCUCCAGGUGCUGUGUGCGGGCCCUCUCCAUACAGAGGCUGUGGUACUUCUGGUUCCUUCUGAUGAUGGGCGUGCUUUUCUGCUG